Molecule: transfer RNA, 71 nt
Filed under: Spirosoma sp.
Lineage: Bacteria; Pseudomonadati; Bacteroidota; Cytophagia; Cytophagales; Cytophagaceae
Description: tRNA-Lys
Rfam family: tRNA
About the family: Transfer RNA (tRNA) molecules are approximately 80 nucleotides in length. Their secondary structure includes four short double-helical elements and three loops (D, anti-codon, and T loops).
Source: RNAcentral
GAGGUUAUAGCUCAAUGGUAGAGCUAUCCCCUUUUAAGGGAUAGACCAGGGUUCGAUUCCCUGUAGCCUCA